Molecule: long non-coding RNA, 2471 nt
Filed under: Nicotiana tabacum (common tobacco)
Lineage: Eukaryota; Viridiplantae; Streptophyta; Magnoliopsida; Solanales; Solanaceae
Description: long non-coding RNA (NTAB_LNC005511)
Source: RNAcentral
AUUAACGACAUUUAUUUGACAUUUAUAGCAAACAUCGUAAAUUUCGUUGUCGGGAAUUUUCCGACAUUUACAUUAAUGUUGGCAAAUAAAUAGUGACAUUUAUAUACUGACUUUUUAUCAAAUGUCACCAGCUUGAGUACAAAAUCAAUAUAGUUUCAACAUACAAAGAAAUGUCGGCAAUCUUACUCAUCCUUUCUACAUAUACAUGCAAAAUGUCGGUAAAUCUUCUUUUGUCAAUAGCUUUUUUUCUUUUUAUACUUGAAGGAAGUUAAUAAUUCUUAUCUACUAAUAACACAAUCAUUCAUACAAUUUUGAUACUACAAUGCCAUACCCAACAAAAGAAUUUUGAAUUAAAACAAAAGAGAUACGUACACAUUAUUUUUGAAAAUCUUACAAUACCACUCAGUAGUGGUUCUCAAAAAUAUAAAGUUUUUCCCCAGUACAUAUUCAGAACAAGCUAUGCUAACUAUAAAUAAACUCCAAUGUUGAGUACAAAAAAUAUUAAUUCACAACAGUUCUUUGCACAAGAGUUUCUCUUUUGACUCCAAUUUUUGCAUAUCAACCUGACAUAAAACCAAACAAUAAAAGCAAUAAUUAGAAGUUAAAAAUUCAAGGUAACAAAAACCAGUUAGCAAACCACUUCUAUAGAGUUAUAUGGCAUAUGAUAUCACAUGCAAAGUUAGAAUCCGUGCAGCUUAAAAACCUUUCAUCAUACAAACAAAAAUGAAUAAUAGACUUACUUAUCACAAAGAAAAAUAAAACAAUAAGAAACUUCAAGUCUUCGAAUACGAGCCACAAUGUAAAUAUGUACCAUAAAGUAAGAAAAUGCAAAAUGUGCUUGAACACAUCUACAUCUGUUUAGUUAACAUACAGAAUGCGAAGUUCUCUCUAUCCUUUUCCUCUCCCUAAUCCCUUCUAACUAAGCAUGACAUUUCAAUUUUAGGAUUAAAUGAUGUUUGUAUAAUCAUUUGGAUAUACUGAUACCCUUUUCGCAAGGAAACCACAAGAAUUUUCUUUAUCUCAAAGAUAUUGUGAAGAGUAUAACCUUUGACGAGCUGGCAGACCUUGAGUAUGCUCCUAACACAACUCAUUUUCAAUACUUGCAUGGUAAUCUUGUUAGUAUUGCAUUUUAGGUCUAAUCAACCAAGCAAACGUCUAGAGGUAUUGAUAGGUAAUACAAACUAGAUAUUUACUUAUCUCAAUUUAAGGAGAUGAUCCUCUUGAGUGACCUACGGAUGAGAACCACAAUCAACUAGAAUUCAGAGGCCAUAUUUGGUUAAUGACCAUGCUAUAGAGGUCAUUUUUCUCCUAGAAAUACAUAGUACUAUCCAUAUUCUUACUCAUGAAAAGCAGAAUGUCAUCUCCUGUGAGGAAUCUAACAUUAUAAAUCGAUGAGGUUAGUUAUUUGGUGCUACAGUUUCAAGUUUUUCUUCCUCUGGUGAACUAAUCUCGAGUAUUUAUGUGUCAAGGAAACAUAAUCUUGCUUAUUUUUCUACUAAAGUUUUGGCAUUAUAGGUGUAAAUAAGUUAUUCUAUCAUACUAAAAGAUUAUUCUAUCGGACUUAAAUGUAAUCUUACCCAACUAAAUGCAAAAGCGUGAUAUUUCCUAUAAGGCAUAGUUCAGUUUCUGACUUAUCCAAGCUAGAUUUCUGUAAUUUGGACCUGCAGGUACCUUUCUACACUCAUCCUACCACUAUUAGCACCUAUAAACCUAAUCAACUAAUUAAAUAAUUUACAUGGACUAAGAAGGAGCGUAACAAGGAUGAACUAUAACAACAUGACAGUAAAACAAUCAUAUUAAAGAUGUAAGAAUAGACAAAAUACAAUAAAAGAAAGAAUCAACCAAAUAAAAUAAAAACUGCGAAUACACAAUGACAUUAAAAGGAAAAAGGCGGAGAUACUAAAGAUACUAAAGCUUUAUCCCCAAAAUGAUUCAAUUUCAUCACUCCACAAUAGCCAUGUAUCUUCAACAUAAAUAGAGAACUGUUAAAUUCAUAAAUAACUCUAUCUACCACUUCCCAAGCACAACAAACUUCGGUACAUCAAACUAAACGAAAGGUCAACCAUUUUAAAGGCAGAAAAUACAAUCCAGUGGACAUAAUAGAAUGAAAAUCACAAAAAGAAAAUACUUAACACACCUUAAUAACCUCGAUCAAAAGUCUGAGAAGUAUCAGUAGUAUCUGUCAUGUUUAGAGUUUAGAACAAUCUAAGACCAACCUGGUUGCUUCCCCUUUCAAUUUUCGGCGCCACACUGAGAUUUGCUUAUCGCUAAUCGAGUGCAACUUUGAACUUCGAGAAUGUGAUUUGCAAUCGAUCAAUUUGUGAAUUUGAGAUGACGACAUCAAUUAUUUGGGUAUGAGGAAAGGGGAAGAUCGGAGGCAUGGUUUUAAGAGGAAAGAUUGGGGUUAGGGUUUUUAAUAAACAUAGUUGACCAUGCCUAUAUAUUUUUAGCUUAAUAAGUAUAAAUGUAAG